AUUGAUCCCAGAGACUCUUUCUCACUGAGGUACAUCUCCAGUCCUGAUUUUUUAUUUUAAGACAGGGUCUCACUAAGUUGAAAAUUGCUGAGGCUGACCUCAAACUUGCGAUCUUCCUGCCUCAGCCUCCUGAGACACUGGAAUUACAGGCAUGUACCACCAUGCCCGACUGUUAUCCUAAUUUUAAAGGUCCCAGGAUCAGCAGCAGUGGUAUUGCAUUGGAGAGUACCAGGAUGCAUGUUCAGAGGCAGCACCUUGAUCUUCUGAGUCAGAAACUGUGGCUGAGCCCAGCACUCUGUAUUCUACCAUACUCUCCAGAACUCAAAGACAUCAACGUGGCCUUGUCAACAUGACCUAGAACACCCAUGGCCUGUAACACAGACCGAGGAGGGCUCUGGAG
Molecule: non-coding RNA, 400 nt
Organism: Ictidomys tridecemlineatus (thirteen-lined ground squirrel)
Lineage: Eukaryota; Metazoa; Chordata; Mammalia; Rodentia; Sciuridae
Source: RefSeq, a predicted model, not a curated record